This 501-nucleotide ribosomal RNA is filed under the name uncultured bacterium. RNAcentral describes it as "partial 16S ribosomal RNA". It matches the Rfam family "Bacterial small subunit ribosomal RNA", at positions 29 to 523 of the family's 1533-position model. The record is from RNAcentral.
AUUGAACGCUGGCGGCAUGCCUUACACAUGCAAGUCGAACGGCAGCACGGGUGCUUGCACCUGGUGGCGAGUGGCGAACGGGUGAGUAAUACAUCGGAACGUACCUUAUCGUGGGGGAUAACGCAGCGAAAGCUGUGCUAAUACCGCAUACGCCCUGAGGGGGAAAGCGGGGGAUCGCAAGACCUCGCGCGAUUAGAGCGGCCGAUGCCUGAUUAGCUUGUUGGUGGGGUAAAAGCCCACCAAGGCGACGAUCAGUAGCUGGUCUGAGAGGACGAUCAGCCAAAGUGGGACUGAGACACGGCCCAGACUCCUACGGGAGGCAGCAGUGGGGAAUUUUGGACAAUGGGGACAACCCUGAUCCAGCAAUGCCGCGUGAGUGAAGAAGGCCUUCGGGUUGUAAAGCUCUUUUGUCAGGGAAGAAACACCGGCUCUAACACAGUCCGGGAAUGACGGUACCUGAAGAAUAAGCACCGGCUAACUACGUGCCAGACGCCGCCGUAA